Cyprinus carpio (common carp) is the source of this 671-nucleotide long non-coding RNA. The record is from Ensembl. Lineage: Eukaryota; Metazoa; Chordata; Actinopteri; Cypriniformes; Cyprinidae.
GGAGUGCUUGAUUCUGAUUGGUCAGUUGUGACAUUUUGAGGUGCGUUGUUCCCCACAUAACAACAAUUGCCAUUAGAAACACCAAAUAACAAACCACUCAUCCGGGUAUUUGAGGCUGGUGCUUCAUUCACAUCUCUCAUAUCACACUGCCACACUAUAUCUAGUUUCAUUCAAAUGCAACUGCAAUCAUCUUGUGCCUCAGAUAUUGACUGUAUUUACUGUAAAAUGAAACCAGAGGACAUGUAGUUUUGUACACUGUAAUAAAUGUAAGAUAAUAAACAGGACGUCCUGUUUUAUCUACUGGCUAAAUCAAAGUGGGAUCACUUUUAUACGCAAGUGAUGGAAAGCAGCGAGUGACGGACAGCCCACACACUUUGGAGCACGUCAGGACACCCACUUUCACCUUGAUUGGCAUCGAAGAGUACGGAGAGCACACGGGAAGCACCAACCAGCAGAAAGCGGAUCAGGACACUUCACCAGGCACCCUUCACUUAUCAAUAAACCCACCCUCCGGGGCAUUUAAUUCACGCACCUCUUGUCGAGUGUUUCUUCACCCCGUGACAGUGGUGGAGAAUGCGGGCAUUACAGUGAGGAAUCACCGACAAGAUCACCGCCCCAACGCCUAUUUUUUUUCCUUUUUUUCCCUGUUUCUGUCACCAGCACCACGGAAG